RNAcentral lists this ribosomal RNA (460 nucleotides) under uncultured bacterium. RNAcentral describes it as "partial 16S ribosomal RNA". It matches the Rfam family "Bacterial small subunit ribosomal RNA", at positions 338 to 795 of the family's 1533-position model. The record is from RNAcentral.
CCUACGGGAGGCAGCAGUGAGGAAUAUUGGUCAAUGGACGAGAGUCUGACCCAGCCAAGUAGCGUGAAGGAUGACUGCCCUAUGGGUUGUAAACUUCUUUUAUCAAGGAAUAAAACGAGGCACGUGUGCCUUUUUGCAUGUACUUUAUGAAUAAGGAUCGGCUAACUCCGUGCCAGCAGCCGCGGUAAUACGGAGGAUCCGAGCGUUAUCCGGAUUUAUUGGGUUUAAAGGGAGCGUAGAUGGGUUGUUAAGUCAGUUGUGAAAGUUUGCGGCUCAACCGUAAAAUUGCAAUUGAUACUGGCAGUCUUGAGUACAGUUGAGGUAGGCGGAAUUCGUGGUGUAGCGGUGAAAUGCUUAGAUAUCACGAAGAACCCCGAUUGCGAAGGCAGCUUACUAAACUGUGACUGACAUUGAUGCUCGAAAGUGUGGGUAUCAAACAGGAUUAGAUACCCUAGUAGUC